GACGAACGCUGGCGGCGUGCCUAAUACAUGCAAGUCGAGCGAAGUUUUUCUGGUGCUUGCACUAGAAAAACUUAGCGGCGAACGGGUGAGUAACACGUAAAGAACCUGCCUCAUAGACUGGGACAACUAUUGGAAACGAUAGCUAAUACCGGAUAACAGCAUUAACUGCAUGGUUGAUGUUUAAAAGUUGGUUUUGCUAACACUAUGAGAUGGCUUUGCGGUGCAUUAGCUAGUUGGUGGGGUAAAGGCCUACCAAGGCGACGAUGCAUAGCCGACCUGAGAGGGUGAUCGGCCACACUGGGACUGAGACACGGCCCAGACUCCUACGGGAGGCAGCAGUAGGGAAUCUUCCGCAAUGGGCGAAAGCCUGACGGAGCAACGCCGCGUGAGUGAAGAAGGAUUUCGGUUCGUAAAGCUCUGUUGUUAGGGAAGAAUGAUUGUGUAGUAACUAUACACAGUAGAGACGGUACCUAACCAGAAGGCCACGGCUAACUACGUGCCAGCAGCCGCGGUAAUACGUAGGUGGCAAGCGUUGUCCGGAAUUAUUGGGCGUAAAGCGCGCGCAGGUGGUUUAAUAAGUCUGAUGUGAAAGCCCACGGCUCAACCGUGGAGGGUCAUUGGAAACUGUUAAACUUGAGUGCAGGAGAGAAAAGUGGAAUUCCUAGUGUAGCGGUGAAAUGCGUAGAGAUUAGGAGGAACACCAGUGGCGAAGGCGGCUUUUUGGCCUGUAACUGACACUGAGGCGCGAAAGCGUGGGGAGCAAACAGG
This 768-nucleotide ribosomal RNA is filed under the name uncultured bacterium. RNAcentral's name for it is "bacterial SSU rRNA". It matches the Rfam family "Bacterial small subunit ribosomal RNA", at positions 28 to 776 of the family's 1533-position model. The record is from RNAcentral.